CACACACAGCACCCUCACACACACAGUACACUAACAGCACACUCACACACAGCACACUAACAGUACCUUCACAAACACACAACAUCCACACACAGCACACAGACAGCACCCUCACACACACACACAGAACACUAACCGGACCCCAACAAACACACACACAGCACACUACCAGUACCCUCACACACAGCACACAAACAGCACCCUCACACACAAACAGCACCCUCACACACAGUACACUAACAGCACCCUCAUACUCAAAC
Pelobates cultripes (western spadefoot toad) is the source of this 260-nucleotide non-coding RNA. NCBI's taxonomy places the organism in Eukaryota, Metazoa, Chordata, Amphibia, Anura, Pelobatidae. The record is from the annotation of a GenBank genome assembly.